AACGAACGCUGGCGGCAUGCCUAACACAUGCAAGUCGAACGAAACCUCCGUGUCUAUUGGCGCACGUGUGCGUAACGCCUGGUAACUUGCCCUUAGGUUGGGAAUAACUCCCCGUAAGAUGUGCUAAUACCGGUUAAUCUCAUCCGAGCAAAGACUUAUCGCGUUUGGAUGGGGGCGCGUUGGAUUAGCCAGUUGGUAGUGUACAAGCCUGCCAACGCGACGUUCCAUAGCUGGUCUGUGAGGAUGAUCAUCCGCACUGGAAAUGAGACCCGGCCCAGCCUGGUACGGGAGGCUGGAGUGGGGAGUAUUAGACGAGGGGCGCAAGCGUAGUCAAGCAGUGCCGCGUGAGAGAUGAAGGCCUUAGGGUUGUAAAGCUCUUUGACACGGGAUGAGAAUGACAGUAACGGGAGAAGAAGCACCGGCUAACUCCGUG
This 433-nucleotide ribosomal RNA is filed under the name uncultured bacterium. RNAcentral describes it as "partial 16S ribosomal RNA". It matches the Rfam family "Bacterial small subunit ribosomal RNA", at positions 29 to 507 of the family's 1533-position model. The record is from RNAcentral.